This 433-nucleotide ribosomal RNA is filed under the name uncultured bacterium. RNAcentral's name for it is "partial 16S ribosomal RNA". It matches the Rfam family "Bacterial small subunit ribosomal RNA", at positions 29 to 507 of the family's 1533-position model. The record is from RNAcentral.
AACGAACGCUGGCGGCAGGCCUAACACAUGCAAGUCGAGCGAGAUCUUCGGGUCUAGCGGCGGACGGGUGAGUAACGCGUGGGAAUAUGCCUCUUGGUACGGAAUAGCCUCGGGAAACUGGGAGUAAUACCGUAUGUGCCCUUUGGGGGAAAGAUUUAUCGCCAAGAGAUUAGCCCGCGUUGGAUUAGGUAGUUGGUGGGGUAAUGGCCUACCAAGCCGACGAUCCAUAGCUGGUUUGAGAGGAUGAUCAGCCACACUGGGACUAAGACACGGCCCAGACUCCUACGGGAGGCAGCAGUGGGGAAUCUUAGACAAUGGGGGCAACCCUGAUCUAGCCAUGCCGCGUGAGUGAUGAAGGCCUUAGGGUUGUAAAGCUCUUUCAGCUGGGAAGAUAAUGACGGUACCAGCAGAAGAAGCCCCGGCUAACUCCGUG